GACGAACGCUGGCGGCGUGCCUAAUACAUGCAAGUCGAACGCAUUUUCUUUCACCGUAGCUUGCUACACCGAGAGAAAAUGAGUGGCGAACGGGUGAGUAAAACGUGGGUAACCUGCCCAUCAGCGGGGGAUAACACUUGGAAACAGGUGCUAAUACUGCCUAAUUCCAUUUACCGCAUGGUAGAUGGUUGAAAGGCGCUUUUGCGUCACUGGUGGAUGGACCCGCGGUGCGUUAGCUAGUUGGGGGGGUAACGGCCUAACAAGGCUGAGAUGCAUAGCCGGCCUGGGAGGGUGAUCGGGCACACUGGGACUGAGACACGGCCCAGGCUCCUUCGGGAGGGAACAGUAGGGAAUCUUUGGAAAAUGAGACAAGUCUGAACGAACAACGCCGGGGGAGUGGAGAAGGUUUUCGGAUCGGAAAACUCUGUUGUGAGAGAAGAACAAGGAUGAGAGUGGAAAGUUCAUCCCUUGACGGUAUCUAACCAGAAAGCCACGGCUAACUACGUG
Molecule: ribosomal RNA, 507 nt
Filed under: uncultured bacterium
Lineage: Bacteria
Description: partial 16S ribosomal RNA
Rfam family: Bacterial small subunit ribosomal RNA
Source: RNAcentral